RNAcentral lists this transfer RNA (76 nucleotides) under Allomyces macrogynus ATCC 38327. RNAcentral's name for it is "tRNA-Thr (CGT) (tRNA-Thr-CGT-6-1)". Lineage: Eukaryota; Fungi; Blastocladiomycota; Blastocladiomycetes; Blastocladiales; Blastocladiaceae. The record is from RNAcentral.
GCCGACUUAGCUCAGUGGCAGAGCGUCGCUCUCGUUAAACGAAGGUCCGGGCUGUUCGAUCCCCCCCAGUCCGGCA